GAUGAACGCUGGCGGCGUGCUUAACACAUGCAAGUCGAACGGUGAAGCAGAGCUUGCUCUGUGGAUCAGUGGCGAACGGGUGAGUAACACGUGAGCAACCUGCCCCUGACUCUGGGAUAAGCGCUGGAAACGGCGUCUAAUACUGGAUAUGAGCUGCGACCGCAUGGUCAGCAGUUGGAAAGAUUUUUCGGUCUGGGAUGGGCUCACGGCCUAUCAGCUUGUUGGUGAGGUAAUGGCUCACCAAGGCGUCGACGGGUAGCCGGCCUGAGAGGGUGACCGGCCACACUGGGACUGAGACACGGCCCAGACUCCUACGGGAGGCAGCAGUGGGGAAUAUUGCACAAUGGGCGAAAGCCUGAUGCAGCAACGCCGCGUGAGGGAUGACGGCCUUCGGGUUGUAAACCUCUUUUAGCAGGGAAGAAGCGAAAGUGACGGUACCUGCAGAAAAAGCGCCGGCUAACUACGUGCCAGCAGCCGCGGUAAUACGUAGGGCGCAAGCGUUAUCCGGAAUUAUUGGGCGUAAAGAGCUCGUAGGCGGUUUGUCGCGUCUGCUGUGAAAUCCCGAGGCUCAACCUCGGGUCUGCAGUGGGUACGGGCAGACUAGAGUGCGGUAGGGGAGAUUGGAAUUCCUGGUGUAGCGGUGGAAUGCGCAGAUAUCAGGAGGAACACCGAUGGCGAAGGCAGAUCUCUGGGCCGUUACUGACGCUGAGGAGCGAAAGGGUGGGGAGCAAACAGGCUUAGAUACCCUGGUAGUCCACCCCGUAAACGUUGGGAACUAGUUGUGGGGUCCAUUCCACGGAUUCCGUGACGCAGCUAACGCAUUAAGUUCCCCGCCUGGGGAGUACGGCCGCAAGGCUAAAACUCAAAGGAAUUGACGGGGACCCGCACAAGCGGCGGAGCAUGCGGAUUAAUUCGAUGCAACGCGAAGAACCUUACCAAGGCUUGACAUAUACGAGAACGGGCCAGAAAUGGUCAACUCUUUGGACACUCGUAAACAGGUGGUGCAUGGUUGUCGUCAGCUCGUGUCGGGAGAUGUUGGGUUAAGUCCCGCAACGAGCGCAACCCUCGUUCUAUGUUGCCAGCACGUAAUGGUGGGAACUCAUGGGAUACUGCCGGGGUCAACUCGGAGGAAGGUGGGGAUGACGUCAAAUCAUCAUGCCCCUUAUGUCUUGGGCUUCACGCAUGCUACAAUGGCCGGUACAAAGGGCUGCAAUACCGUGAGGUGGAGCGAAUCCCAAAAAGCCGGUCCCAGUUCGGAUUGAGGUCUGCAACUCGACCUCAUGAAGUCGGAGUCGCUAGUAAUCGCAGAUCAGCAACGCUGCGGUGAAUACGUUCCCGGGUCU
RNAcentral lists this ribosomal RNA (1343 nucleotides) under uncultured bacterium. Its description in RNAcentral is "bacterial SSU rRNA". It matches the Rfam family "Bacterial small subunit ribosomal RNA", at positions 28 to 1381 of the family's 1533-position model. The record is from RNAcentral.